CCCUACGGGGGGCAGCAGUGGGGGAUAUUGCACAAUGGGGGAAACCCUGAUGCAGCAACGCCGCGUGAGUGAAGAAGUAUUUCGGUAUGUAAAGCUCUAUCAGCAGGGAAGAAGAUGACGGUACCUGAUUAAGAAGCCCCGGCUAACUACGUACCAGCAGCCGCGGUAAUACGUAGGGGGCAAGCGUUAUCCGGAUUUACUGGGUGUAAAGGGAGCGCAGACGGCAGUGUAAGUCUGGAGUGAAAGCC
RNAcentral lists this ribosomal RNA (248 nucleotides) under uncultured bacterium. RNAcentral's name for it is "partial 16S ribosomal RNA". It matches the Rfam family "Bacterial small subunit ribosomal RNA", at positions 337 to 602 of the family's 1533-position model. The record is from RNAcentral.